GCUGCGGGGCUGGAGAUGGGAGGUGCUGUAGCACCAGGAUUCCCCACGGGGAUGCUCAGCACCAGCCUGGCUGCAGCUGCAGGGCUGGGGCUGCGUCCCCCCUUGUAAUGACAGGAUAAGAAGGGACCGGGUCAGCCAAAGUGCCUGCGCUGGGCAGGGGCUGCCAGCCAAGGGCCGGGUGGGGAGCAGCUGAGCUGCAGCACCGCAACUGCAGCCCUGCAGUGAGAGCAGCGAGCGGGGAGCAGCGCUGAGCCCCAACCCCUGCAGCAGUGAGCGGCUCCUGGCUUAGCGAGGCAAAACGCACAGCUUGGCGAGGAGCAACGCGCACAGAGAGAGCUGGAAGGCAGCACGGGAAGCAGAGCAGGGCAGGGCAGAGCAGCGCUGGUGUCAGCGGCGGCACACAGCUCCCAAUGCCCGCAAGGUGAGUGGCAGCGCCGGGUCAGCCCUCCGGGCAGCUCCCACCUCGCUGUGCCACUGCCGGCACCGGCGAUUCCUUUGGCUUUUUUCUUGUUUCCCAUCGCUGCUUUAAAGAGCUCUGAAGCAAGGACAUGCAAGAAUAGAAAAGGCAACAAGGAUUUUUUUUUUCCUUUUUUCUUUUCUUUUCUUUUUUUUUUUUUUUGCAGCUUGCUACAGGGAAAGGGGUGAAGGAGAGGCAGGGACGGGAAAUCAAACUAUGCUGCAGGAUUUGGGGCUGUUCCAACCUAACAAAGCAGCCGGGUGACCCCGAGGAGCAGCAGAAAGCACCCGGAGCCCCUCCGCCACCGCUGCAGCACGCGCUUCCUGCAUCCAUCCAUCCCAAGGCAGCCCGCAGUAACGCAGCAGAAAGACAAGGGUCAUGCUGAGCCGCAUCCUCCUCGCACACAACAGCCGAGCGGCAGCACCGAACAUGCAUGGCUCAGCCGUGCCGCCACGCCACGCCGGAACGGAGAGCCUUAAAAUAAGGAGCUGUAGCAGCGAUGAGGUCUCCCCUCAGCCCCUCUCCUCCACGCUGACCCAUCCCACAGCGCUGUGCUCCGACCCAUCACAGCUCCUGCCCAUCUCUGGACACACCUGGGGCCCCAAUGUGUUUCUGGCAGCGAGGGGCCCCAGCACCGAACAGAGCACUGCAGGUGCACAGCAACGAUCACCUUCUGCUGACUGCACUACUUCUGACACAAGCCAGGAUGCCGCUGGCUCCUUGGCCACCCUGGCACACUGCUGGCUCAUGUUCAUGUGACGCUGCAGAUGGAACGGAGCCUAAUACCAACAAGCACACGUCAGCCCAUCAACAGGAUGUACAAUUAAUGAUUAUGGAUAAAUAAUCCAGCUGAUCACAAGUCGAUUCCAAACCCCUAUUUGGUUUGUUGGUUGGUUUUUCUAUGCGCGGCCACAAGCACCAACAGAUCCUUCUUUUCUGUAAUACACAAGCACAGGGCUAUCUGUGGCUGUUACAGGAGGAGGACCCCCAGCCCCACAGGCCAGCAGCCCCUCUGCAGCCUGGAGCCACAUGCUGAGCCCAGGACUGUGCUGGGCAAUGCAGGACGCUGCAUACAGAUGAGUUUUAAGGGACAAAAAGCCCUGGUGGCAGCUCCUGGGCCCAAUUCUCACGUGCCAAACUUCCCAACUGCUGCAGAGCAGCUCGACGGCAUUUCAAAAGAAUUCCUGCUCUGUUUUGA
This 1655-nucleotide long non-coding RNA is filed under the name Gallus gallus (chicken). Its description in RNAcentral is "lncRNA (ENSGALG00010029048.1)". Lineage: Eukaryota; Metazoa; Chordata; Aves; Galliformes; Phasianidae. The record is from RNAcentral.